GACGAACGCUGGCGGCGUGCCUAAUACAUGCAAGUUGAGCGCUGAAGGUUGGUACUUGUACCAACUGGAUGAGCAGCGAACGGGUGAGUAACGCGUGGGGAAUCUGCCUUUGAGCGGGGGACAACAUUUGGAAACGAAUGCUAAUACCGCAUAAAAACUUUAAACACAAGUUUUAAGUUUGAAAGAUGCAAUUGCAUCACUCAAAGAUGAUCCCGCGUUGUAUUAGCUAGUUGGUGAGGUAAAGGCUCACCAAGGCGAUGAUACAUAGCCGACCUGAGAGGGUGGUCGGCCACAUUGGGACUGAGACACGGCCCAAACUCCUACGGGAGGCAGCAGGAGGGAAUCUUCGGCAAUGGACGAAAGUCUGACCGAGCAACGCCGCGUGAGUGAAGAAGGUUUUCGGAUCGUAAAACUCUGUUGGUAGAGAAGAACGUUGGUGAGAGUGGAAAGCUCAUCAAGUGACGGUAACUACCCAGAAAGGGACGGCUAACUACGUG
This 497-nucleotide ribosomal RNA is filed under the name uncultured bacterium. RNAcentral's name for it is "partial 16S ribosomal RNA". It matches the Rfam family "Bacterial small subunit ribosomal RNA", at positions 28 to 507 of the family's 1533-position model. The record is from RNAcentral.